CUGCGUGAGAGGUGAAAUUCUUGGACCGUAGCGAGACGACCGAAAGCGAAGGCACUUGCCAAGAGUGUUUUCAUUAAUCAAGAACGAAAGUCAGAGGUUCGAAGGCGAUUAGAUACCGCUAUAGUUCUGACCGUAAACGAUGCCAACUGUCGCUCAGCUUGUGGAUUCAAUUCAUGAGCUGGGAGGUUCCCGGAAACGAAAGUUUUUCGGUUCCGGGGGAAGUAUGGUUGCAAAACUGAAACUUAAAGGAAUUGACGGAAGGGCACCACCAGGAGUGGAGCUUGCGGCUUAAUUUGACUCAACACGGGAAAUCUCACCCGGCCAGUACACUGUAAGGAUUGACAGAUUGAUAGCUCUUUCAUGAUUCGGUGAAUGGUGGUGCAUGGCCGUUCUUAGUUCGUGGAUUGAUUUGUCUGGUUUAUUCCGAUAACGAGCGAGACUUUGACUAUUAAAUAGUGCGGUUGUUUCUUUGAUGCAACCGAUCACUUCUUAAAGGAAUUUGGGGUUUCCAACCUCAAGAGAUUGAGCAAUAACAGGUCUGUGAUGCCCUUAGAUGUUCGGGGCCGCACGCGUGCUACAAUGAUGGUAACAGCGUGAUUGUCCUCCUCCGAAAGGAGUUGGCAAACAGUUGAGAUAUUAUUAUGGCUGGAAUUGAGAGUUGAAAUUUUCUCUCAUGAACGAGGAAUUCCAAGUAAAUGUGAGUCAUCAACUCGCAUUGAUUACGUCCCUGCCCUUUGUACACACCGCCCGUCGCUGCCCGGGACUGGGUUACCUCGAGAAAACUAGGGAUCGUCGUUGUCCGACAUGCAUGUGUUGGCUAUGGUGAGAACGAGUUUAAUCGCGGUGGCCUGAACCGGGCAAAAGUCGUAACAAGGUAGC
This 879-nucleotide ribosomal RNA is filed under the name Cryptaphelenchus sp. t XM-2022. RNAcentral describes it as "SSU rRNA". It matches the Rfam family "Eukaryotic small subunit ribosomal RNA", at positions 900 to 1803 of the family's 1831-position model. The record is from RNAcentral. Lineage: Eukaryota; Metazoa; Nematoda; Chromadorea; Rhabditida; Aphelenchoididae.